RNAcentral lists this ribosomal RNA (721 nucleotides) under uncultured bacterium. RNAcentral's name for it is "bacterial SSU rRNA". It matches the Rfam family "Bacterial small subunit ribosomal RNA", at positions 87 to 804 of the family's 1533-position model. The record is from RNAcentral.
GCCGGCGACCGGCGCACGGGUGAGUAACGCGUAUGCGACCUGCCCGUCACAGGGGGAUAAUCCGGAGAAAUCCGGUCUAAUACCGCAUAAUAUCGUGAAUCUGCAUGGAUUUGCGAUUAAAGGAGCGAUCCGGUGACGGAUGGGCAUGCGUGACAUUAGCUAGUCGGCGGGGUAACGGCCCACCGAGGCGACGAUGUCUAGGGGUUCUGAGAGGAAGGUCCCCCACACUGGUACUGAGACACGGACCAGACUCCUACGGGAGGCAGCAGUGAGGAAUAUUGGUCAAUGGGCUUACGCCUGAACCAGCCAAGUCGCGUGAGGGAAGACUGCCCUAUGGGUUGUAAACCUCUUUUGUCAGGGAGCAACGCCGGCUACGUGUAGCCGGACUGAGAGUACCUGAAGAAAAAGCAUCGGCUAACUCCGUGCCAGCAGCCGCGGUAAUACGGAGGAUGCGAGCGUUAUCCGGAUUUAUUGGGUUUAAAGGGUGCGUAGGCGGAAUGCCAAGUCAGCGGUAAAAUCGCGGGGCUCAACCUCGCUCCGCCGUUGAAACUGGCGUUCUUGAGUGAGCGAGAAGUAUGCGGAAUGCGUGGUGUAGCGGUGAAAUGCAUAGAUAUCACGCAGAACUCCGAUUGCGAAGGCAGCAUGCCGGCGCUCAACUGACGCUCAUGCACGAAAGCGUGGGUAUCGAACAGGAUUAGAUACCCUGGUAGUCCACGCCGUA